Non-coding RNA from Macaca mulatta (Rhesus monkey), 538 nucleotides. The record is from RefSeq and is a predicted model, not a curated record. Lineage: Eukaryota; Metazoa; Chordata; Mammalia; Primates; Cercopithecidae.
UCAACUGUCUACGUUUAUACUCACUGAUGACUCGUGUUUCCUUUCGAGGACAACUGGGCUUUUCUCCUCUUCUCUGCUGGAUUCUGCUGUUUCCCACAAGGUGUUCAGAGAGUCUGCCCUGAAUCCUACAAGCAGGAGAUGAGAAACACACAGUGACACCAGCAGGAGAACAUGAAGAUGUGGUGACAGUUGUCCUCCUCCUGCAGAGUCCAGAGCAGUGCACUCCUACCACUGGUGCCCUAGCUAAGCCUGGGGGCCAGCAUGCCCGAUGAUAGUCUGGGAGUGCUGCAGAGUCCCCACAAUGGGCACCCAGCCUGUGCCCUUGCAUUCUGCAUGAUCGUGGCCAUUGUCACCUCAGAGCCCCUGUGUACAGAUCAGUGCAUCCUAGCAGAGCUGCAUGUGAGGAAAGACCACGUGAGUCCCGGGAAAGAGCUGAGGCCCUGCAGGGGAAGGUGGCCAGGACCGAGACCUGAUGCCUGUCUGGAGAAUCGUCUGUGGGUCCAAGAUGAAGGAUGAGAAGUGGUUGCUACGAAGGACC